UAAAGCAUCCUACAAAGAUGUUGUGAGAAGAUACUACAGAAGCAGAAAGUGUUCCCAUUGUGACAUCACUUUUGGUGAGCAGAACAAACGAGCACUGAGAAAUUUAAGGGGAGGAGCAGAAGUGUUAGAAGGAAGGUAGACAGCUGUCAACAAUACAAUCAUUUCCAAAUUGCUCUUGUAAGCAAGACAAAGCAGCUGGACAGGGGAGAGAUGAGUUGAGAUCCUAUAGUGAUCAGCAUCACAGGGCCAUGUGUCCUUACAGGAGCCUGCUCUGUCAUGGGGUUCCUGUGGGCUGCAGUUUGUUAAUACUGGAAAAGCAAUUGGACAGUGGGGCCUCCUCAUUCUUGGCACUAUUUCAAAAGCAACUUGAAAUGCCCUGACAGCAGUUCUUCUCACAAAGUAACGUGAAGGUUGUGACACGGACCAACAAAAGGCUGACACACUGUCGU
This is a long non-coding RNA of Passer domesticus (house sparrow), 449 nucleotides long. RefSeq lists it as uncharacterized. The transcript is spliced from 4 exons. The record is from RefSeq and is a predicted model, not a curated record. Lineage: Eukaryota; Metazoa; Chordata; Aves; Passeriformes; Passeridae.